This 692-nucleotide ribosomal RNA is filed under the name uncultured bacterium. RNAcentral's name for it is "bacterial SSU rRNA". It matches the Rfam family "Bacterial small subunit ribosomal RNA", at positions 94 to 820 of the family's 1533-position model. The record is from RNAcentral.
CGUGGCGGACGGGUGAGUAACGCGUAAGAAUCUAACUUCAGGACGGGGACAACAGUGGGAAACGACUGCUAAUACCCGAUGUGCCGCAAGGUGAAACCUAAUUGGCCUGAAGAAGAGCUUGCGUCUGAUUAGCUAGUUGGUGGGGUAAGAGCCUACCAAGGCGACGAUCAGUAGCUGGUCUGAGAGGAUGAUCAGCCACACUGGGACUGAGACACGGCCCAGACUCCUACGGGAGGCAGCAGUGGGGAAUUUUCCGCAAUGGGCGAAAGCCUGACGGAGCAACGCCGCGUGAGGGAGGAAGGUCUUUGGAUUGUAAACCUCUUUUCUCAAGGAAGAAGUUCUGACGGUACUUGAGGAAUCAGCCUCGGCUAACUCCGUGCCAGCAGCCGCGGUAAUACGGGGGAGGCAAGCGUUAUCCGGAAUUAUUGGGCGUAAAGCGUCCGCAGGUGGUCAGCCAAGUCUGCUGUCAAAUCAGGUUGCUUAACGACCUAAAGGCGGUGGAAACUGGCAGACUAGAGAUCAGUAGGGGUAGCAGGAAUUCCCAGUGUAGCGGUGAAAUGCGUAGAGAUUGGGAAGAACAUCGGUGGCGAAAGCGUGCUACUGGGCUGUAUCUGACACUCAGGGACGAAAGCUAGGGGAGCGAAAGGGAUUAGAUACCCCUGUAGUCCUAGCCGUAAACGAUGGAUACUAGG